AGAGUUCCUGGCCUGGCUGAAAGAGAAUCAUGCAGGUGAAUGGGUCAGUGUGCGUCUGCUCCUGCCAGCAUGAGCAGGUUUGAUGUUCCAUGGUCUGCUGAUCCCCUUGUCUAGGAAGUACAACACUCUGAGAUAUGGCAGCUUUCCCAGGAUUAUUGCUGAGAAGCAUGAGGGAAAACUAAGAUACUGUAGCACAUACGGAUCCUUGAUGAAUCUGCUUUGGUGGCAAGCCUGUGCAUCUUCUGGCAUCUUCUGUGGGAGUGACGCUCUUUGUUAAUGCAGAGGAUUUCCAGGAGCAAUGUUCUGGAGAAAUAGAUUCUGCAAGAGUGACCCGGGGUCCUGUUAUAUCAAG
Hirundo rustica (Barn swallow) is the source of this 352-nucleotide long non-coding RNA. RefSeq lists it as uncharacterized. The transcript has 3 exons. The record is from RefSeq and is a predicted model, not a curated record. Lineage: Eukaryota; Metazoa; Chordata; Aves; Passeriformes; Hirundinidae.